RNAcentral lists this ribosomal RNA (253 nucleotides) under uncultured bacterium. RNAcentral's name for it is "partial 16S ribosomal RNA". It matches the Rfam family "Bacterial small subunit ribosomal RNA", at positions 524 to 776 of the family's 1533-position model. The record is from RNAcentral.
UACGAAGGGUGCAAGCGUUACUCGGAAUUACUGGGCGUAAAGCGUGCGUAGGUGGUUCGUUGAGUCUGAUGUGAAAGCCCUGGGCUCAACCUGGGAAUGGCAUUGGAUACUGGCGACCUAGAGUGCGGUAGAGGGGUGUGGAAUUCCCGGUGUAGCAGUGAAAUGCGUAGAUAUCUGGAGGAACAUCGGUGGCGAAGGCGGCAUCCUGGACCGGUAUUGACGCUGAGGCGCGAAAGCUAGGGGAGCAAACGGG